Molecule: ribosomal RNA, 468 nt
Filed under: uncultured bacterium
Lineage: Bacteria
Description: partial 16S ribosomal RNA
Rfam family: Bacterial small subunit ribosomal RNA
Source: RNAcentral
GACGAACGCUGGCGGCGUGCUUAACACAUGCAAGUCGAACGGAAAGGCCCUGCUUUUGUGGGGUGCUCGAGUGGCGAACGGGUGAGUAACACGUGAGUAACCUGCCCUUGACUUUGGGAUAACUUCAGGAAACUGGGGCUAAUACCGGAUAGGAGCUCCUGCUGCAUGGUGGGGGUUGGAAAGUUUCGGCGGUUGGGGAUGGACUCGCGGCUUAUCAGCUUGUUGGUGGGGUAGUGGCUUACCAAGGCUUUGACGGGUAGCCGGCCUGAGAGGGUGACCGGCCACAUUGGGACUGAGAUACGGCCCAGACUCCUACGUGAGGCAGCAGUGGGCAAUAUUGCACAAUGGGCGGAAGCCUGAUGCAGCAACGCCGCGUGCGGGAUGACGGCCUUCGGGUUGUCACCAGCUUUCGCCUGUGACGAAGCGUGAGUGACGGUACUGGGUCAAGAAGCACCGGCUAACUACGUG